GUGCUCGCUUCGGCAGCUCAUAUACUAAAAAUUGGAACGAUACAGAGAAGAUUAGCAUGGCCCCUGUGCAAAGGAUGACAUAGUAGAUAUGUUGGGAACAGAGCCUUUAA
Molecule: small nuclear RNA, 110 nt
Organism: Suncus etruscus (white-toothed pygmy shrew)
Lineage: Eukaryota; Metazoa; Chordata; Mammalia; Eulipotyphla; Soricidae
Source: RefSeq, a predicted model, not a curated record